This 337-nucleotide transfer-messenger RNA is filed under the name Veillonella sp. It matches the Rfam family "transfer-messenger RNA". Rfam says of the family: Bacterial tmRNA, also known as 10Sa RNA or SsrA, is named for its dual tRNA and mRNA-like properties. Its role is to liberate the mRNA from a stalled ribosome. The record is from RNAcentral. Lineage: Bacteria; Bacillati; Bacillota; Negativicutes; Veillonellales; Veillonellaceae.
GGGGAUGUAAAGGUUUCGACAGGGGCGAGUGUGGUAUAGAUAGCGAGUCGGCGUUCCAUUGGGCCGUUAAACGGUGGGAAAAAAACGCAGAAGAAAAUUUUGCAUUAGCUGCAUAAGCUACGUCCCUCAUACUUGUGCCUACCAAGUGUGAAUGGACGUCAAACCGUAGGCUGGCUUAAUUUAGUCGUUCAUAUGAAUUAGGCGAGACAACAUGAACUGGAGUACUGUAGUUUGUCUGUGAGCGAUAGGUACUUGAGAUUUAAAUCAUAGACUGUGCUCGGAGAAGUCUAUAUGGCAACGCUUUUGGACAGGAGUUCGACUCUCCUCAUCUCCACCA